This is a long non-coding RNA of Vanessa tameamea, 144 nucleotides long. RefSeq lists it as uncharacterized. NCBI's taxonomy places the organism in Eukaryota, Metazoa, Arthropoda, Insecta, Lepidoptera, Nymphalidae. The record is from RefSeq and is a predicted model, not a curated record. The transcript is spliced from 3 exons.
UAGGAAUAUCGAUUAUAGACGAAGAAGUGGAGAAAAUAUUGGAGACUCGGAAUUUACGUUUAAAUCCAGCCAACUUAAACGCAAUUUACAAGGUUGAAAGUUUGUCCGAGUACUUCAACAAUAUUAUCAUACAGAAUAUUUAUG